RNAcentral lists this ribosomal RNA (321 nucleotides) under uncultured soil bacterium. RNAcentral's name for it is "bacterial SSU rRNA". It matches the Rfam family "Bacterial small subunit ribosomal RNA", at positions 582 to 901 of the family's 1533-position model. The record is from RNAcentral.
CUUAAGUCUGAUGUGCAAGCCCACGGCUCAACCGUGGAGGGUCAUUGGAAACUGGGGGACUUGAGUGCAGAAGAGGAAAGUGGAAUUCCACGUGUAGCGGUGAAAUGCGUAGAGAUGUGGAGGAACACCAGUGGCGAAGGCGACUUUCUGGUCUGUAACUGACGCUGAGGCGCGAAAGCGUGGGGAGCAAACAGGAUUAGAUACCCUGGUAGUCCACGCCGUAAACGAUGAGUGCUAAGUGUUAGGGGGUUUCCGCCCCUUAGUGCUGCAGCUAACGCAUUAAGCACUCCGCCUGGGGAGUACGGCCGCCAAGGCUGAACU